This 390-nucleotide ribosomal RNA is filed under the name uncultured bacterium. Its description in RNAcentral is "bacterial SSU rRNA". It matches the Rfam family "Bacterial small subunit ribosomal RNA", at positions 954 to 1337 of the family's 1533-position model. The record is from RNAcentral.
GCAUAACGCGAAGAACCUUACCAGGCCUUGACAUCCUGAGAACCCUCCGAAACGGAAGGGUGCCGUUCGGGAACGUCAGUGACAGGUGCUGCAUGGCUGUCGUCAGCUCGUGUCGUGAGAUGUUCGGUUAAGUCCGGCAACGAGCGCAACCCUCGCCAUUAGUUGCCAGCAUUUCGGAUUGGGCACUCUAGUGGGACUGGCCUAUGAAAGUAGGAGGAAGGCGGGGAUGGACGUCUAGUCAGCAUGGCCCUUACGGCCUGGGCGACGACACGUGCUACAAUGGCCGGUACAACGGCGCUGCCACCUCGCGAGAGGGAGCUAAUCGUUAAAGCCGGUUACCCAGUUCCGGAUUGCAGUCUGCAACUCGACUGCAUGAAGUUGGAAUCGCUA